This 497-nucleotide ribosomal RNA is filed under the name uncultured bacterium. Its description in RNAcentral is "partial 16S ribosomal RNA". It matches the Rfam family "Bacterial small subunit ribosomal RNA", at positions 28 to 507 of the family's 1533-position model. The record is from RNAcentral.
GACGAACGCUGGCGGCGUGCCUAAUACAUGCAAGUUGAGCGCUGAAGGUUGGUACUUGUACCCACUGGAUGAGCAGCGAACGGGUGAGUAACGCGUGGGGCAUCUGCCUCUUAGCGGUGGACAACAUCUGGAAACGAAUGCUAAUACCGCAUAAAAACUUUAAACACAAGUUUUAAGUUUGAAAGAUGCAAUUGCAUCACUCAAAGAUGAUCCCGCGUUGUAUUAGCUAGUUGGUGAGGUAAAGGCUCACCAAGGCGAUGAUACAUAGCCGACCUGAGAGGGUGAGCGGCCAACACGGGAAUGAGAAAAGGCCCAAAACCCUACGGGGGGGAGCAGUAGGGAAUUAUUGGAAAUGGGGGGAAGUCCUACCGCGCAAAGACGGGGGAGUGAAGGAGGUUUUUGGAUCGUAAAAGUCUGUUGGUAGAGAAGAAAGAUGGUGAGAGUGGAAAGCUCAUGAAGUGACGGUAACUAAACAGAAAGAGACGGCUAACUACGUG